Molecule: long non-coding RNA, 212 nt
Filed under: Elaeis guineensis (African oil palm)
Lineage: Eukaryota; Viridiplantae; Streptophyta; Magnoliopsida; Arecales; Arecaceae
Description: long non-coding RNA (EGUI_LNC050521)
Source: RNAcentral
AUCCAUCACACGAAUUACUUGGGCUCAGAUUUUGCUAAAUUGAAAUACAUUGAUGCAUAUCUUCUACUAAUUCGAAGGGGUAAAUCCCAUCUUGACUCACGCACCGACUUGAUAAGUAGUUGAUUGUAUCCAAAAAUUUUCCAUCACUGAAUUAAAAAUUCAGUUAGUCUGGCAUUAAAGUAUAGUAAGUUGCUUGUAAGUCACCGUGGUGA